RNAcentral lists this ribosomal RNA (253 nucleotides) under uncultured bacterium. RNAcentral's name for it is "partial 16S ribosomal RNA". It matches the Rfam family "Bacterial small subunit ribosomal RNA", at positions 524 to 776 of the family's 1533-position model. The record is from RNAcentral.
UACGGGGGGGGCGAACGUUGUUCGGAAUUACUGGGCGUAAAGGGCUCGUAGGCGGCCAACUAAGUCGGACGUGAAAUCCCCAGGCUCAACCUGGGAACUGCGUCCGAUACUGGAUGGCUUGAAUCCGGGAGAGGGAUGCAGAAUUCCAGGUGUAGCGGUGAAAUGCGUAGAUAUCUGGAGGAAUACCGGUGGCGAAGGCGGCAUCCUGGACCGGCAUUGACGCUGAGGAGCGAAAGCCAGGGGAGCAAACGGG